RNAcentral lists this transfer RNA (90 nucleotides) under Candidatus Neptunichlamydia sp. Its description in RNAcentral is "tRNA-Ser". It matches the Rfam family "tRNA". Rfam says of the family: Transfer RNA (tRNA) molecules are approximately 80 nucleotides in length. Their secondary structure includes four short double-helical elements and three loops (D, anti-codon, and T loops). The record is from RNAcentral. Lineage: Bacteria; Pseudomonadati; Chlamydiota; Chlamydiia; Parachlamydiales; Simkaniaceae.
GGAAAGGUGGCUGAGCGGCCGAAGGCACGUCCCUGCUAAGGACGCGUAUCCGCAAGGGUACCGAGGGUUCGAAUCCCUCCCUUUCCGCCA